AUACGAAUGGUGCAAGCGUUGUUCGGAAGCACUGGGCAUAAAGAGCACGUAGGCGGUGGCGUAAGUCAGCUGUGAAAUCCCUCGGCUCAACCGAGGAACUGCAGCUGAAACUGCGUCGCUAGAGUAUGGGAGGGGAGAGCGGAAUUCCUGGUGGAGCGGUGAAAUGCGUAGAUAUCAGGAGGAACGCCGGAGGCGAAAGCGGCUCUCUGGACCAUUACUGACGCUGAGGUGCGAAAGCUAGGGGAGCAAACAGGAUUAGAAACCCCGGUAGUCC
Molecule: ribosomal RNA, 274 nt
Filed under: uncultured bacterium
Lineage: Bacteria
Description: partial 16S ribosomal RNA
Rfam family: Bacterial small subunit ribosomal RNA
Source: RNAcentral